AACGGAUAAAGAGACACACUGGAAGGAGUAGCUUCUUUUCGGUUUGGGUCGAGUGAAGAAAUGCAUCUCUUACUGGGUCUCCAGACAAAAAGCAAGAGCCCACAAAAAUGCAGGGACCAAGAGAGAAGGAAGGGGAAGGAGAGAAUGGCAAAGAAUAGGAGAUGCUGGUUCAGUUUCCAGCACCCACAUGGCAGCUCACAACCUCUAACUCCAGUGCCAGGGGAUCUGAUGCCCUCUUCUAACCUCUGCGGGCGCUGCACGUCAGUGGUGCACAGUCACUCUUACAGGUAAAAUACCCAAAUACAUAAGCACAAAGGUUUGAAAAA
Molecule: non-coding RNA, 326 nt
Organism: Myodes glareolus (Bank vole)
Lineage: Eukaryota; Metazoa; Chordata; Mammalia; Rodentia; Cricetidae
Source: RefSeq, a predicted model, not a curated record